CAAAAACUAGCUUAAACAAAGCAUCCAACUUACAAUUGGAAGACGCCGAAUAGUCCGGCCUUUUUGA
This 67-nucleotide transfer RNA is filed under the name Acanthodactylus boskianus (Bosk's fringe-fingered lizard). RNAcentral describes it as "tRNA-Val". It matches the Rfam family "tRNA". From Rfam's summary of the family: Transfer RNA (tRNA) molecules are approximately 80 nucleotides in length. Lineage: Eukaryota; Metazoa; Chordata; Lepidosauria; Squamata; Lacertidae. The record is from RNAcentral.